Long non-coding RNA from Alligator mississippiensis (American alligator), 1731 nucleotides. RefSeq lists it as uncharacterized. The transcript is spliced from 3 exons. NCBI's taxonomy places the organism in Eukaryota, Metazoa, Chordata, Crocodylia, Alligatoridae. The record is from RefSeq and is a predicted model, not a curated record.
AGAACUGGCCGACUUCCCAGUUACUGAGACAUGCAAAGUUUUGUAGGGCUCUGCUCCUAUUCCCAGUGCUUUAUUUAUGGGUUUGCCAAUACUGCAAGACCACCACAGAGGUUGGGUGAGAAAGGGAAGCCAUUUCAAUAUACAGCAGAAUGUGAUUUAGAAUUUUUAGAGCUGGAGAAACUUCUUUCUAAGUCUUUCUGAAUUUCAACUCUUCCAUGCUGAAAACAGGCCUGUUGUCUCAGGGGGUCUGCUGCUUACCAUCUCUGCUGAUGAAUCUCUGAACCCAACAGAAAGGAGUUGUUGACAGCAACCAUCCUUGUUUCCUCUUGUAAUUAGUAGUCUCAGUCCUUUGGCGCGCACAGUAUCAUCUUUUCCACCAAUGUGGUAUCCAUUUCUUCUGUGAAGACGGAGCAGCAUACUAGUUCUUCAUCUCAGAGGAUGUGGGUUUGAAGGUGAAGUGCUCUCUCCUACCACAGAGACUCCCAGACUACCCAUGCAUCCUGUAAAUCCCUUUCCUGUUACCUGAGGGAACCUAUCCACAAACAUCUCCUUGGCUGCAAGAACAAGAAGGCUACAUUUCCCACAAAGCAAUGACCAAGGCAAUAGUGUCCAGGCUUGAGCACUACAUCAAACUUUGUACUGCUUUUUACUACAAGAUUGCUUAGGCACAUAAAUACAUUAAAGAACUGAUCAUCAUCUGCUCUGAAGGAAGCAUAACUAUUCUUAAAGGUUGAUGUCUAUCCUUUUCUCAGGCUGGAUCAUGAGGGGGGCAUAUGGGGGUUUUCGAAUCGUUGCUAUGAAAAGUUUAUAAGAUGGAUUUAACAUUUCCUUUUGGAUCUGUCUGAUAUUAUUUGGCAAUUCAUUCCAUAUCUGGUGUUUUCAUUAUGAAGACACACUGCUUUCAGCUCCUGAAAAUCUUUUACUGGAUUUCUCCAGCUAUAUAGUCCUAAAGGGCAGCAUAGCAGGAGAUAGAUAUGUUCUAAAUUGUUAAGGGUGCUGCAUAAUAAGGUCAGGAUUUUCAAUUAGAUUUGCAGAGACCAAGAUAGUUCACAAAGUGCUACUAUGAUAUAUUCAGGGGUGUACUUGGUAGCCGUGUUGGUCUGAGACAGAAAGACAUACAAAAAACUAGAACUCUUGGUUCUAAAAUGAUACCUUUUGUUAGACCAACUGGAAAAUGGCAAGAAAAUUGUCCUUUUCUGCAAGCUUUCGGGAAUCAAAGUCCCUUUGUCAGGCUCUGGGAAAAGUGUAGAUGGUACAAGAUGGUAAAAAGUCCCCAUAGUUCAGAAAUAAACUUCAUUUUUGCACAGAGGGAGCUGAAGAUGGAAGUCUGUCCCUCUGGGUCUAUGAGAGUGUCUUUGUGAGCUGUGUUGAGUAGCUCUUUGAUGUGUUGAUAAGGUAGAAUUCCUUCCCUGAAGGUGUCAGAUGGUAGGUAGGGAGGCAAAAAAAAAGGCUAUGAUAUAUUAGCCUCCAUCUUUGUUGCUUUUGAAAUAAUAUUCCCCAUAAGUCACAACAAUAAUCAUAAUAAUACUAAUAACAGUCUUGUCAUUAAAAGUUCAAUAAAUAAGCAAAACAUUUCACAAAUGUUUUAAACUACUAUUAUGUGUCAAACAGACUACAUAAGACAAAACAUGUUUAUAAUACUGCUUACUGUCUGUUUACUGUAAUGCUGUUUGUAAUCCUGGCUGGCCUUGUUCAAGAAAUUAAACAGUUUUAUAACAAAAUACAGCUUAC